This 337-nucleotide RNase P RNA is filed under the name Bacteroidales bacterium. RNAcentral describes it as "RNase P RNA component class A". It matches the Rfam family "Bacterial RNase P class A". Rfam says of the family: Ribonuclease P (RNase P) is a ubiquitous endoribonuclease, found in archaea, bacteria and eukarya as well as chloroplasts and mitochondria. Its best characterised activity is the generation of mature 5'-ends of tRNAs by cleaving the 5'-leader elements of precursor-tRNAs. Lineage: Bacteria; Pseudomonadati; Bacteroidota; Bacteroidia; Bacteroidales. The record is from RNAcentral.
AACAGAGAACGCGGCUGUCGCCGGGCCGAAAGGCCGGGAGGAAAGUCCGGGCAACACAGGGCACCAUACUUCCUAACGGGAAGCUGCUCGCGAGGGCAGAGUCAAGGUAACAGAAAACAACCGCCUCAGGGCAAGGGUGAAAAGGCAGGGUAAGAGCCUACCGCCGGCAGGGUGAUCUGCCGGGCCGUACCACUUAUGGGUUGCAAGGCCAUGUAAACCGACGCUACGAGGGUUGCCCGCCCCAGUCGGAGGGUAGGCCGCUUGAGCGGCGGGGAGACUCGCCGCCUAGAUAAAUGACAGCAUCACACAGAACCCGGCUUACGGUUCUCUGUUAUUU